Molecule: ribosomal RNA, 337 nt
Filed under: uncultured Pseudomonadota bacterium
Lineage: Bacteria; Pseudomonadati; Pseudomonadota
Description: bacterial SSU rRNA
Rfam family: Bacterial small subunit ribosomal RNA
Source: RNAcentral
AACGAACGCUGGCGGCGUGCCUAACACAUGCAAGUCGAACGUGAUUGAGGAGCUUGCUCCUCAUGAAAGUGGCGCACGGGUGAGUAACGCGUAGAUAAUCUACCUGGUGAUCCGGGAUAACACUUCGAAAGGGGUGCUAAUACCUGAUAAGCCCACGGGGUCUUUGGACUCUGCGGGAAAAGGGGGGCCAUUUGGCCUUCCGUCAUCAGAUGAGUCUGCGUACCAUUAGCUAGUUGGUAGGGUAAAGGCCUACCAAGGCGACGAUGGUUAGCUGGUCUGAGAGGAUGAUCAGCCACACUGGAACUGAGACACGGUCCAGACUCCGUACGGGUGGCAG